Molecule: ribosomal RNA, 198 nt
Filed under: uncultured bacterium
Lineage: Bacteria
Description: partial 16S ribosomal RNA
Rfam family: Bacterial small subunit ribosomal RNA
Source: RNAcentral
ACGCUCGACACCUACGGUAGGCAGCAGUGGGGAAUAUUGCACAAUGGGGGAAACCCUGAUGCAGCGACGCCGCGUGAGCGAAGAAGUAUUUCGGUAUGUAAAGCUCUAUCAGCAGGGAAGAAACUGACGGUACCUGACUAAGAAGCACCGGCUAAAUACGUGCCUGCAGCCGCGGUAAUCUGAGCGGGCUGGCAAGGC